GGAAACCAAUGCGGGGCAACCCGGUAAAUGGUGAUUCAUAAUAACUUUCGGAUCGGUCUUCGGAUCGAUGCUUCAUUCAAGUUUCUGCCCUAUCAGCUUUGGAUGGUAGGGUAUUGGCCUACCAUGGCUUUAACGGGUAACGGAGAAUUAGGGUUCGAUUCCGGAGAGGGAGCCUGAGAAAUGGCUACCACAUCUAAGGAAGGCAGCAGGCGCGUAAAUUACCCAAUCCUGACACAGGGAGGUAGUGACAAUAAAUAACAAUGCCGGGCCUUCGGGUCUGGCAAUUGGAAUGAGAACAAUUUAAAUCCCUUAUCGAGGAUCAAUUGGAGGGCAAGUCUGGUGCCAGCAGCCGCGGUAAUUCCAGCUCCAAUAGCGUAUACUAAAGUUGUUGCAGUUAAAAAGCUCGUAGUUGAAUUUCUGGUCUUGGAUUUCGGUCUGCCUCAAACGAGGUAUGUACCAGGGAUCUGAGACCAUCCUCGAGGAAAACAUAUCUGUCAUUAAGUUAAUGGGUAUGAGAUCCUCGUCAUUUACUGUGAGCAAAAUAG
RNAcentral lists this ribosomal RNA (545 nucleotides) under uncultured Chrysophyceae. Its description in RNAcentral is "SSU rRNA". It matches the Rfam family "Eukaryotic small subunit ribosomal RNA", at positions 217 to 769 of the family's 1831-position model. Lineage: Eukaryota; Chrysophyceae. The record is from RNAcentral.